GACGAACGCUGGCGGCGUGCCUAAUACAUGCAAGUCGAGCGGGCCUCCGGAGGUGCUUGCACCUCCGGAAGGCCAGCGGCGGAAGGGUGAGUAACACGUGGGCAACCUGCCUCAGAGGCCGGGAUAACACCGGGAAACCGGUGAUAAUACCGGAUGCGUCCCCUUUCGCGCCUGGGAGUGGGGAGGACGACGGUCUGUAAGGCCGUCGCUCAAACCGGGGCCGGCGGCGCAUUAGCUGGUUGGUGGGGUAAGGGCCUACCAAGGCGACGAUGCGUUGCCGACCUGAGAGGGUGAUCGGCCACACUGGGACUGAGACACGGCCCAGACUCCUGCGGGAGGCAGCAGUAGGGAAUCAUCCGCAAUGGGCGAAAGCCUGACGGUGCAACGCCGCGUGAGUGAGGAAGGUUUUCGGAUCGUAAAGCUCUGUUGUGAGGGAAGAACAGCUUCCGGAGGAAAUGCCGGAGGUUUGUCGGUACCUCACCAGAAAGCCCCGGCUAACUACGUGCCAGCAGCCGCGGUAA
RNAcentral lists this ribosomal RNA (521 nucleotides) under uncultured bacterium. Its description in RNAcentral is "partial 16S ribosomal RNA". It matches the Rfam family "Bacterial small subunit ribosomal RNA", at positions 28 to 523 of the family's 1533-position model. The record is from RNAcentral.